Long non-coding RNA from Agrilus planipennis (emerald ash borer), 514 nucleotides. RefSeq lists it as uncharacterized. The record is from RefSeq and is a predicted model, not a curated record. NCBI's taxonomy places the organism in Eukaryota, Metazoa, Arthropoda, Insecta, Coleoptera, Buprestidae. The transcript has 4 exons.
AUUCAAACUUUUUUACAGACAUUCGUGAAGCAGUGAAGCCUCCGUGGGAGGAUCACCAAUCCUUGGACCACUUCAGGAACAUCGUUCAUCAUGGGAGAUCAUCUUCGUCAACAAAGAUGGACUACUUCUAACGGACAUUCGAGAAGCAGUGAGACCUCCGUGGGAGGAUCACCAAUCCAUGGACCACUUCAGGAACAUCGUUCAUCGUGAGAGACCAUCAUCGUCAACGAGAGACCAUUUCUAACGGACAUUCGAGAAGCAGUGAGACCUCCGUGGGAGGAUCACCAAUCCAUGGACCACUUCAGGAACAUCGUUCAUCGUGGGAGAUCACCAUCGUCAACGAGGGACCAUUUCUAACGGACAUUCGAGAAGCAGUGAGACCUCCGUGGGAGGAUCACCAAUCCAUGGACCACUUCAGGAACAUCGUUCAUCGUGGGAGAUCACCAUCGUCAACGAGGGACCAUUUCUAACGGGUGCGAAUAGCUCCCAACGGUAAGAGCCAUCUACCAACGGC